Molecule: ribosomal RNA, 253 nt
Filed under: uncultured bacterium
Lineage: Bacteria
Description: partial 16S ribosomal RNA
Rfam family: Bacterial small subunit ribosomal RNA
Source: RNAcentral
UACGUAGGGUGCGAGCGUUGUCCGGAAUUAUUGGGCGUAAAGAGCUUGUAGGCGGUUUGUCGCGUCUGCCGUGAAAAUCCGGGGCUCAACCCCGGACUUGCGGUGGGUACGGGCAGACUAGAGUGUGGUAGGGGAGACUGGAAUUCCUGGUGUAGCGGUGAAAUGCGCAGAUAUCAGGAGGAACACCGGUGGCGAAGGCGCCGCUCUGGGCCGAAACUGACGCUGAGGAGCGAAAGCGUGGGGAGCGAACAGG